RNAcentral lists this ribosomal RNA (433 nucleotides) under uncultured bacterium. RNAcentral's name for it is "partial 16S ribosomal RNA". It matches the Rfam family "Bacterial small subunit ribosomal RNA", at positions 29 to 507 of the family's 1533-position model. The record is from RNAcentral.
AACGAACGCUGGCGGCAUGCCUAACACAUGCAAGUCGAACGAGACCUUCGGGUCUAGUGGCGCACGGGUGCGUAACACGUGGGAAUCUGCCCUUUGCUUCGGAAUAACAGUUAGAAAUGACUGCUAAUACCGGAUGAUGUCGAAAUACCAAAGAUUUAUCGGCAAAGGAUGAGCCCGCGUAGGAUUAGGUAGUUGGUGGGGUAAAGGCCUACCAAGCCGACGAUCCUUAGCUGGUCUGAGAGGAUGAUCAGCCACACUGGGGCUGAGACACGGCCCAGACUCCUACGGGAGGCAGCAGUGGGGAAUAUUGGACAAUGGGCGAAAGCCUGAUCCAGCAAUGCCGCGUGAGUGAUGAAGGCCUUAGGGUUGUAAAGCUCUUUUACCAGGGAUGAUAAUGACAGUACCUGGAGAAUAAGCUCCGGCUAACUCCGUG